RNAcentral lists this ribosomal RNA (1146 nucleotides) under Paenibacillus sp. RNAcentral describes it as "bacterial SSU rRNA". It matches the Rfam family "Bacterial small subunit ribosomal RNA", at positions 37 to 1165 of the family's 1533-position model. The record is from RNAcentral. Lineage: Bacteria; Bacillati; Bacillota; Bacilli; Caryophanales; Paenibacillaceae.
UGGCAGUGCGCUGCUAUACAUGCAGUCGAGCGGAGUUAUUCCUUCGGGGAUAGCUUAGCGGCGGACGGGUGAGUAACACGUAGGCAACCUGCCUGUAAGACCGGGAUAACAUUCGGAAACGAAUGCUAAUACCGGAUACCCAGUUUCCUCGCAUGGGGAGAUUGGGAAAGACGGUGCAAGCUGUCACUUACAGAUGGGCCUGCGGUGCAUUAGCUAGUUGGUGGGGUAACGGCUCACCAAGGCGACAAUGCAAAGCCGACCUGAGAGGGUGAUCGGCCACACUGGGACUGAGACACGGCCCAAACUCCUACGGGAGGCAGCAGUAGGGAAUCUUCCGCAAUGGACGAAAGUCUGACGGACCAACGCCGCGUGAGUGAUGAAGGUUUUCGGAUCGUAAAGCUCUGUUGCCAGGGAAGAACAGCCGGGCGAGUAACUGCGCUUGGAAUGACGGUACCUGAGAAGAAAGCCCCGGCUAACUACGUGCCAGCAGCCGCGGUAAUACGUAGGGGGCAAGCGUUGUCCGGAAUUAUUGGGCGUAAAGCGCGCGCAGGCGGCUUUGUAAGUCUGGUGUUUAAUCUCAGAGCUCAACUCUGAUUCGCAUCGGAGACUGCAAGGCUUGAGUACAGAAGAGGAGAGUGGAAUUCCACGUGUAGCGGUGAAAUGCGUAGAGAUGUGGAGGAACACCAGUGGCGAAGGCGACUUUCUGGGCUGUAACUGACGCUGAGGCGCGAAAGCGUGGGGAGCAGACAGGAUUAGAUACCCUGGUAGUCCACGCCGUAAACGAUGAAUGCUAGGUGUUAGGGGUUUCGAUACCCUUGGUGCCGAAGUUAACACAUUAAGCAUUCCGCCUGGCGAGUACGCUCGCAAGAGUGAAACUCAGAGGAAUUGACGGGGACCCGCACAAGCAGUGGAGUAUGUGGUUUAAUUCGAAGCAACGCGAAGAACCUUACCAGCUCUUGACAUCCCUCUGAAUGCAUUGGAGACAGUGCAAGCCUUCGGGACAGAGGAAACAGGUGGUGCAUGGUUGUCCUCACCUCGUGUCCUGAGAUGUUGGGUUAAGUCCCGCAACCAACCGCACCCCUUGAUCUUAUGUUGCCAACAUGUUAAGGGUGGGCACCUUAAGGGGACUGGCGGGGGAACAACCGG